This 485-nucleotide ribosomal RNA is filed under the name uncultured bacterium. RNAcentral describes it as "bacterial SSU rRNA". It matches the Rfam family "Bacterial small subunit ribosomal RNA", at positions 29 to 486 of the family's 1533-position model. The record is from RNAcentral.
AACGAACGCUGGCGGCGUGGAUAAGACAUGCAAGUCGAGCGCGAAUUCUGGUGUAGCAAUACAUCAGAGUUUGAGCGGCGCAAGGGUGCGUAACACGUGGGUAAUUUGCCGUGAAGUUGGGGAUAACUCGCUGAAAGGCGAGCUAAUACCGGAUGUGGUUAUGGGGUGGCAUCACCUGAUAACUGAAGCUGGGGAUCGUAAGACCUGGCGCUUCAUGAUAAGCCCGCGGCCUAUCAGCUAGUUGGUGAGGUAACGGCUCACCAAGGCUAAGACGGGUAGCUGGUCUGAGAGGACGACCAGCCACACUGGAACUGAGACACGGUCCAGACACCUACGGGUGGCAGCAGUCGAGAAUUUUUCUCAAUGGGCGCAAGCCUGAAGGAGCGACGCCGCGUGGGGGAUGAAGGGUUUCGAUCCGUAAACCCCUGUCAUUCGUGAACAAUGCUCAUUAUUUAAAAGAUGAUGAGUUGAUAGUAACGGAAGGA